GAUUAAGAGAAGUAAUUCUACUUGAUGAUCUAACAAAGCCAUCUGGGACCCCCUGAGUGCCAUCUUGAUGCAGUUCAGAAUUUUGUCUCCUGAGUGACUCUGUCACUCCAGUUUUUUGCAAGGUUCCCAGGAGGAAGGCGUCACCUCUACAGUCCAGUGGCUUCAGUCACCAUCACUGAGAAGCCAACGCCACUACAAUUACAUCCCUCCUCCCUUGCCCUUGGAAAUGGAAACACUUUACUUGGUUUUACUAACACAACAUAACAUUUGUUACCCCCCCGCCAAUCAUCUUCGUGGUGACCAUGAUCGAACUGAAUUCCAAUAAACCAUCUUAAGACA
Molecule: long non-coding RNA, 339 nt
Organism: Lutra lutra (Eurasian river otter)
Lineage: Eukaryota; Metazoa; Chordata; Mammalia; Carnivora; Mustelidae
Exons: 2
Source: RefSeq, a predicted model, not a curated record